This 381-nucleotide ribosomal RNA is filed under the name uncultured bacterium. RNAcentral's name for it is "bacterial SSU rRNA". It matches the Rfam family "Bacterial small subunit ribosomal RNA", at positions 29 to 424 of the family's 1533-position model. The record is from RNAcentral.
AACGAACGCUGGCGGUAUGCUUAACACAUGCAAGUCGAACGGACUUAUUAGAGCUUGCUUUAAUAAGUUAGUGGCAAACGGGUGAGUAACACGUGGGAAUCUACCCAUCAGUACGGAAUAACAUUUGGAAACAAAUGCUAAUACCGUAUAUUCUCUACGGAGGAAAGAUUUAUCGCUGAUGGAUGAGCCCGCGUUAGAUUAGGUAGUUGGUAGGGUAAUGGCCUACCAAGCCGACGAUCUAUAGCUGGUCUGAGAGGAUGAUCAGCCACACUGGGACUGAGACACGGCCCAGACUCCUACGGGAGGCAGCAGUGGGGAAUAUUGGACAAUGGGCGAAGCCUGAUCCAGCAAUACCGCGUGAGUGAUGAAGGCCUUAGGGUU